AUCCAAGCUGUGGGAAGGUCGUGCUCCACGUGUUGUCGGCAAAGUAACUAUAUUCUUUAACUUUUACUUACAUUUGCCUUGGUGGCUUUAAGACCUUGGUGGUCAUUUAUAUAUGCCUUGGUGGCAAAAGACCUAGGUGGUCAUUUAUAUAUGCCUUGGUGGCAAUAGACCUAGGUGGUCAUUUUUAUAUGCCUUGGUGGCAAUAGACCUAGGUGGUCAUUUUUAUGAUUUUUUACAUUUGCCUUGAUGGGAACAAUGAAUUAAAAAUACUAGCCUUGGGGGCGUCAAGACCUUGGUGGUCAUUUAUAUUUGCCUUGGCGGCUUCUUGAUAGAACUAGAUGGUAAUGUUUGACCUUGGUGGCAAAAAUGUUUUGGGAUUUAGACCUUAAUAGGUAGUUAUUAUCAACCCAGGUGGUCAGAUAUUUGUUAUGCCGUGCGCCGGUUAAACGCAGGGCAAAGUGCUAUCGCUAUAUAAAAUAUAUGUGGAAGUGGGGGCUCUGGCCAUUUUGGAAAUUGUAGUUGAAAGGAGAAUAAUAAAUUGUUUAUAGGGUAAAUAGUUUCUUUUGUUACUUUUGACUGUGUUGUGGACUUUUCAUUUAUUUUUACAUCGUACAUACUGAUAGAAAUGCUAUUUAAAGACUUUGUUAGAAAAGAAUAGAAUUAUUGAGAAAGUGGAAUAAUUUAGUGUGACAUGUCACUUGAUAUUCAUGUUUUUUAUCGGAGUGAUGUGUAUUGAAUUAUAAGGUGUCUUCGUCGAGGUCCGCGUUCAGCGGUCUGUUUGAUUGUACAUAGAAUUGAAUAGAAUGUUUUUUGUUUUCAGAUGGUGUUACCUACAGCUUUGACAGGGUGACGAAUGAAGGAGAAGUAAUAUGACAUUGCACGAUGAUUCAUGUCAAUGAGUUCGAACAACCUUUUUAAAAGGAAAGGAUUUUUUCUAAUCAGAAUAUGGUGAGAACAAAUUACAAUUGAAGUAAUGUUUUGA
RNAcentral lists this long non-coding RNA (982 nucleotides) under Mytilus galloprovincialis (Mediterranean mussel). Lineage: Eukaryota; Metazoa; Mollusca; Bivalvia; Mytilida; Mytilidae. The record is from RNAcentral.